Molecule: ribosomal RNA, 465 nt
Filed under: Vreelandella stevensii
Lineage: Bacteria; Pseudomonadati; Pseudomonadota; Gammaproteobacteria; Oceanospirillales; Halomonadaceae
Description: partial 16S ribosomal RNA
Rfam family: Bacterial small subunit ribosomal RNA
Source: RNAcentral
CCUACGAGGUGCAGCAGUGGGGAAUAUUGGACAAUGGGCGAAAGCCUGAUCCAGCCAUGCCGCGUGUGUGAAGAAGGCCUUCGGGUUGUAAAGCACUUUCAGUGGGGAAGAAAGCCUUGGGGCUAAUACCCUCGAGGAAGGACAUCACCCACAGAAGAAGCACCGGCUAACUCCGUGCCAGCAGCCGCGGUAAUACGGAGGGUGCGAGCGUUAAUCGGAAUUACUGGGCGUAAAGCGCGCGUAGGCGGUCUGAUAAGCCGGUUGUGAAAGCCCCGGGCUCAACCUGGGAACGGCAUCCGGAACUGUCAGGCUAGAGUGCAGGAGAGGAAGGUAGAAUUCCCGGUGUAGCGGUGAAAUGCGUAGAGAUCGGGAGGAAUACCAGUGGCGAAGGCGGCCUUCUGGACUGACACUGACGCUGAGGUGCGAAAGCGUGGGUAGCAAACAGGAUUAGAUACCCCAGUAGUC